UACGUAGGGUGCAAGCGUUGUCCGGAAUUAUUGGGCGUAAAGAGCUCGUAGGCGGUUUGUCGCGUCUGCUGUGAAAAUCCAGGGCUUAACCCUGGACCUGCAGUGGGUACGGGCAGACUAGAGUGCGGUAGGGGAGAUCGGAAUUCCCGGUGUAGCGGUGAAAUGCGCAGAUAUCGGGAGGAACACCAAUGGCGAAGGCAGCUCGCUGGGACGUGACUGACGCUGAGACGCGAAAGCGUGGGGAGCAAACAGG
Molecule: ribosomal RNA, 253 nt
Filed under: uncultured bacterium
Lineage: Bacteria
Description: partial 16S ribosomal RNA
Rfam family: Bacterial small subunit ribosomal RNA
Source: RNAcentral